CAAAGAGAGGAGAACCCCAAUAAUGGGGGGCUGCAAAGUUGGGGUCCCCAAAAAUGGGGGUCCAUAAUUAAUGGGGGUCCCCAAGAAUGGGGUCCCCAAAUAUGGGGGGGGUCCGGUAAAGGGGUCCCCAAAUUUGGGGGGCUGAAGUGGGGGGAAUCCCAAAGAAAGGAGAACCCAAAGAUUGGGGGUCCCCAAAAAUGGGGGUCCACAAUUAAUGGGGUCCCCAAAUAGGGGGUCCCCAAAUAUGGGGGAGGUCCGCUAAUGGGGUCCCCAAAUUUGGGGGUCCUUAAAGGGACAGUGCAGCACUUUGGGGCCUUCAAAGCUCAGAGUUCUUAAAGUGACAGAGCACCAUUUUGGGGUCCCUCAAAGUUG
This 372-nucleotide long non-coding RNA is filed under the name Gallus gallus (chicken). RNAcentral's name for it is "lncRNA (ENSGALG00010001876.1)". The record is from RNAcentral. Lineage: Eukaryota; Metazoa; Chordata; Aves; Galliformes; Phasianidae.